This is a long non-coding RNA of Culex quinquefasciatus (southern house mosquito), 1486 nucleotides long. RefSeq lists it as uncharacterized. The transcript has 3 exons. NCBI's taxonomy places the organism in Eukaryota, Metazoa, Arthropoda, Insecta, Diptera, Culicidae. The record is from RefSeq and is a predicted model, not a curated record.
ACUUCGAAGGUACCAGGUUACCGUGGAACUGCCGUAUCAUCGCCGGUCAGCUCCAAAGCAUCAAGCAACCCGACGACACCACCUUCCGGAAGUUCGCAUACUAUUCUGUAGCAGCAGCAACAACAACAGCAGUCUCAUCACGCAUCCGAUGGCGGGAUUACCAGCCGAGCGGGCUAGCCGUAUGCAACACCUUGUCCAAGAUUCGAUCAAUUGGAUAGAACAACGCGAUUGAGCCUGCUGCUGUUGCGCUGCGGCAGGAGUUUGGAGACUUUGAGGCGGCCUUUGGGAUGCUGCAGGCGAACAAACUAGCUUCCGGCGGAGUGGUCUCAAGAAGGAUUUGUUCUGUGGAUUGAGUCCAAGAAGCGGUUCGCCUGCAACGUUGUUCGGAAGGAUGUUACAGCCGACCUUUGCGUCAGCGCCGCGUGCCAACGACUCGCUGUCAGUCCUGAGCGAACUUUCGCUGGGCAGUACCAACGCUGGCGCCGAGUUGACCUGGAGUACGCGGGAUCUUCGUCAGUUACUACAGGAGACGCCCGAAAUUCAUUCCGAGGAGGGGUUGGGCGUGUUUGAAAGAGGAUUGGAUGGCUUGGCGGGACCGAGGAUUCCGGAUAAGCUUUUUCGUGUUGAUCGAAAGGAUUUUUGGAGAUACGACGCGGCACUGGCUGCGCUUGGUGAUCUCCACGUCGCACCAGGAUUCGAGUGCAAGUUGACGAGAGGCCCGGAUGUCGUAGAUCGGUCACGCUACCAGCACCACCAUCAGAACCACCCCGGGUGAACGCGUCAAUCCUAUUCAACAGUACAAAUUGCUCCUCUUCAAUCGCUCGACUGUCCUUUAAGCAGACAGGCAAGCAGCUUCCACGAAAAAGGAAAGUGGCGGAAUUAACAAUGUCAAGUUCUCCGUCACUGUCGCCGUUGCUCCGUAAAUCCCCCGUAUGGACAAACUCGAUGAAAGUUCCGGAAGAAGCCGUCUUUGAACAACCCGCUGAUUGUGGUUCCAAGCGGGAACUGGAGAAAAACCUACGUCUGCUUCGUCCAUUCCAAAGAUUGUUACCUGAAGACAAGGCUAGACGACCAGAAGGUUGACCACCUGACUUCGGUGCAGUGAAUUGGCCGCGCCAUCCCAAAGUUGGACAAACGCGGGCCAAACGCGCCCUCGAGAGCUCCAUGUCCUCCCAGCUCGCGGCAAAAAAUACCAACCUAAGCAAGCACAUGCGGGGGCGGCCGUCGCAACUCCAAGCCUAAUGGAAAUCGACUACGACGAGUUGAACGAGCAGCAUGUUCUCAACAAAUUGUUCAAACUCCCCGCGAAACCCAACUCCGUCUUCACCACCGGGUACUUCCCACUCGCGCGUAACGUGACAGUCCCCCAGCAGAUCCUGUGAAUUGCCGAAACGUUCGCCAAUGAAUUGGCCGACUUGCGCGUGGGCCAGGCGCGUCCUCGAUGACUAAGGAACCGCCGAUGCGGCUAAGAAUUCGUAACGAGAUC